GUCUAUCUCUCUCGCCCGAUCUACUCUCUUUCUCUCUCUCCCCCCAACCAGUUUGAACGUGCAGAUCGGCGAUCUACGCUCUUUCACUCUCUUGUUUCUUUCUUUUCAUGUCUCUCCCCCCGAACGAAGAUCAGCUGAAGCUUUUGAGAAAACAGGACCCAACUGAGGGUAGCAGAACCGGAGCGAAGCUCUGUGAACAAACAACAACCAAACUGGUGAAUAACUCCAUCAACGUGCAGAUCGGCAAGACCCGGAAGUUUAAACACCGUGAACUCCGGCGAGCUUCAGUUCAGUACAGAGAUCUCCGGCGAGCUCUCUUACUCCCUCUACCAGACCAGGAAGCAAAUCGAACACUACCGACGCGCCGAACCAACUGAAGCUAGCAGAACCGGCGUGAAGCUCUGUGAGCAAACAACAACCAAACUGGUGAAUAACUCCAUCAACGUGCAGAUCGGCGAGACCCAGAAGUUUAAACACCAUGAACUCCGGCGAGCUUCAGUUCAGUACAGAGAUCUCCGGCGAGCUCUCUUACUCUCUCUACCAGACCAGGAAGCAAAUCGAACACUACCACCGCGCCGAACCAACUGAAGCUAGCAGAACCAGCGUUACCAAACUGAACGGUGAAGAAGUGAAGACCGGCGAGACCCAGAAGUUUAAACACCAUGAACUCCGGCGAUUCAGUUCAGUACAGAGAUAAACCAAUCGCCGUGAACAGUUCCGGCGAGCCCAUUAACAAAUCCAGAAGUGCGCGCGCUCCUGUUUAGGCAAACUUCAGUUUCGGUGAGUCAAUCCGGCGAGACGAGAAGUUCCGGUGAGCUCCAGCGAAGCCUCAACCUUCUCGACCCAACUGCAGCAAUGUUUUCCGGCGUGUUUCAGCGAUGACCGACGCGAGCUACAACAAACAACGUCGACCAAACUUCAGAGACAAGUUUAAGUCCGGCACCUAGAGUUCUCUAACUCCGGCGAGGCUCAAUCCACUCCGGCGAGUUUCAGUGAGUUGCCGGUGCGAACUUCAGGCGUAGCUUCAGUUCGUAGCACCUCUGUUACGGUGACCAGGCUGUUUCGGCGAGCUUCAAUCACUCCCAACUGCUCAGGCGAGUUUCAGUGUGUUACCGGUCCAAACUUACAGAUCCAAAGUGAAAACCCAUAUCAGGUCAGAUUCCGCAUAGAACCGGGUUUGGUAUUGGAGAGGAAAUUGCCGGUGCUUGUACCUUUGUUUUUGUGGACUGAUCACCUAUUCAGUGACGGUUGUAAUGCACACACCAAAUAUUAUAUCGAACAGGACCUCAACCCCCCCUUGGGCAUCUAUGUGAAAUUUGUGUUUGUUCCAUAGCCAGAUCUGAAUUUGAGAAAAAGGAAUCGAAAUCCAAGGGAUGAAGUUGAACCCGGCCAGCGAUAAAUUCUACGAAGCACAACUGAAAUUUCCUAAUAUCUAUGCAAAUUUGCAUGCUGAGGCGUCUAAAAUCACGUGUUUCCGAAUAUCAUUUGUAUUCCGAGAGAGGAAAACCGCUGCCGAUUUUUGCGCUAACGCGGCUUUAAGGGAGCUCCGGUGUCCCAAAGAUUAUGUAGAGACUCUUGUCCUGAAAGAUCACACUGUGAAAAAUUUCAGGUUUUAUCGGAAAGUUCUUGCUAUAGAAGAGGUUGGCGGAAGAAAGUGGUCACCGCAGGUGGAGUGGUUGUUUCUUGACCUUCCAGAUUCCCACAAGGAAGGACUUUUGGUGGUUGUGAAAAUUCUGUUCCAUGGAAUGUCAUCUGAUACUAUUGAUACUUUAGGUGGUUUAUUAAUAUAUGUGGUUAUCAUACUUUUGAACAUGGUAUAUCUCGGUGGUUUAUUAUAUAGGUGAAUAUAUCUCUGUUUGGAUGUCA
This is an RNA transcript of Cornus florida, 1866 nucleotides long. RefSeq lists it as uncharacterized. The record is from RefSeq and is a predicted model, not a curated record. NCBI's taxonomy places the organism in Eukaryota, Viridiplantae, Streptophyta, Magnoliopsida, Cornales, Cornaceae. The transcript has 7 exons.